This is an RNA transcript of Scophthalmus maximus (turbot), 3930 nucleotides long. It is a transcript of the gene named shieldin complex subunit 2, with no coding region annotated. The transcript is spliced from 16 exons. The record is from RefSeq and is a predicted model, not a curated record. Lineage: Eukaryota; Metazoa; Chordata; Actinopteri; Pleuronectiformes; Scophthalmidae.
GAAAGUUCCACGGGUUAGCUAAACUUCAGCUAACGUUAGCAAACAUUAGCUGACACAAGCUAACGUCAGCUAACGUUAGCUGACAGUGACUAACGUUAGCAGUCGAAACGUCCACAAACGUGUUCGAACUCCGCAGAAAGCCACAGCGGGUCAAGGAUGUCCUGCUGAUGGAGCAGUUCUGACCGACGGUGGCAGGUGGCACUGAGACAAGAGAGGAGACGACUGAGCUGAAGCUGUGACCUCAGAGCAUCCUGCCCUCUGAUUGGUGGAGCCCGGUUCUUGUUCCCAGCUGUGAAACUUAUGACCAUGAACAUACAUCUCAUGUGUGACCGGCCGAUGAUCCACGUCUUCCUGGGGGCUCCUCCUCCGUCGUCUGGCCCGAUCUCGCUUUCUGAAGCUGGUGAGGAGAGUGAGCGCCGUCCCCCUGCCGGGUGGGGACACCUGGAGCUCACCUGGACGGACGGACGCCUGAGGCCCGUCACAGAUCAAACACCUGCAGAGAGACUCACGAGCCCAGAACCAGAACCUGAAGAGGAAGAGCGAUGUUCGGCUUUGGUUCACGAGUAUCUGGAUGGCUGUUUCCCUGCAGCUCAACCAGAACCAGAACCUCCAGAACCAGAACCUCCAUAUCGCAGCAGACACCAGCCGUCAGCAGCCGUCCCUCCUCUUUGCACUCAGACUCAGUACCUCACCACCUGGACGCUGAGUCAGGCCUUGAUCCUGAGAGGCCGGCGCAGUACCAAAUCAACAAGCAGCCCUGAUAAAGCCCCGCCUCCUCAACGCGACCAGACGCCCCCCUCCGCCUGCUGCAGCACCCUGGAGCUCUUCAGCCCCCUCCCCCCGUCACCUGCUGAGCUCCUCUGCUCUGGCCCGAGUGCGGAGGAAGGGGGUGUCGUCCUCCAGUCCACCGCCGACGGCCUGCUUUGCUCCCAGGAAGCAGAGUCCUCAACCGCUCUCGAUCCGCCCGCCAAAUCCCCUGAUUUAAAGAAAGCUCGGCUCUCCGAAGGCUCCAGGAGCGAGGCGCCGUCAGACCGCACCGCAGCCGGGCUCCGGCGUCCUACCACGUCCCUGGUCCAUUGUCACAACCCAGGGGUAAGAUACUCGGUGCUUGUGGCAGUGGUUCAUCCCUGUCACCUGAAAGAGAUCAAGGUGAAGUCGGGGCCGUCGACGGGAACCUUCGUCCCUCUGGCGUCCAUCGUGGUGACGGACCAGUCGGGCGUAGACAUGAAGGUGGUGCUGUGGCGGCGGGCGGCAUUCUGGGCGUUGACCGUGAAUCCUGGAGACGUUCUGCUCAUCACAGGGCUGCAGCUGAAUGAAGACCGGUGGCGAGGAGAGACCGUGCUUCAGUCCACCUUCUGCAGCAAACUGCUGAGCCUCGGACAAGUCACCGCCUGCAGCUCGCCACCAGCUCUGCAGCAUGUAGAUGCUCGCUCACUCCGCUCUCUGUGUGGAUUUCUCCGGGAGCGGCGCCCCCUGCUGGUGUCUCUGCCUCGCCGCGCCCCUCAGGACCUGAACCGCCUCCCCUACGCCACCCUGAGGUCACUGCGGGUCAACACGCUGGUCCACGCCCUGCUGCGAGUCACACACACGCACACCAACGCAGAGUGGCGGAGUGAGGCGGAGUCUCGCUUCAGGUCGGCUCUUCAGGUGAAAGCUGUUCUGACUGUGGAGCAGCCGGACGGCAAUCAGGGGGCGCUGCUGCUGUGGGGGGCUGCAGUGGACUGGCUGCCUCGCUUCAACAGAGACAGAGCGGCGGUAUGGGACUUCCACGUCCUCCUGGUGAGGGAGGGUGUGACCUCCGACCUCCCCGAGCUGCACUCGACCUCCUGGAGCUCUGUCCGGGCCCUGGACCCUGGUGACCGGCGGGCGCAGAACUUCUUCGCACCCCGACGCAACCAGACAGGAAAUGGCAGCGGCUGCAGCGUGGAGCUGGACCUUGACACGCUACUGUCGCAGAAACACAGCGGUGACGUGGAGCUCAGAGUCAAGGUCACCGCCUUCCACUUCCUGGACGCUCCUUCCUCCCAUAAUGCACUUCAGCUGGUCCUGGACGGCUCCACUCCGCUGGAUGGAAUCGUGGCGGCGCUGGGCGGAGACGUCAGCUAUACCGGCUGCGGUCGCUGCUCCUCCGAGCUCAGUACUGACGCCAACGGCAUCUACGGCCCGUGUUACCGCUGCCUGCCCCACGUGUCCGUACGACGAUACUACAGGCCCGCCGUGCUGACGGUGAGGGGGAGGAGCUGCAGUCAGGUGUGUGUCCAGGUUCCUCCUGUUCCUCUGCAGAAGAUCCUCGACGCUCCUCCAGAUAAACUGCACAAGAGCUCAGCUCCUGGGUCGGAGGUGAAGCUCAUCCAGGCGGCAGCAGAGAGGAUCCAGAUGCUCGUCGCGCUCCCGAGGAAAACCUUCAUCGUCACCAUCCGGAGCCACUUCCUGUGCGAUGAGAACAGCGUCCCCCUCAGUCAGGACUUUACCCUGCUGGACCUGCAGUUCCCGCCCGAUGACGGGCCGCCGAUCGAUCAGCAGCUGAUGGAUCAAUAAACCCUUUGGGGGGCGAUGAAACCCAAGAAACACAGCGAGGAGCUUCUGCACUGGAGGAACUAUCUCCCUGCUCCCGACUACCAACAAUUCAUCGGUUCCUGGUGUCGGCGGCGGCUACGGCAUGGAGCUGUUGCUGGGGCAGAGAGGCCGGCGGACCGAAUCAGCCUGUGAGAGACAGAGAGAGAGUCACAUGACCACCAAGCUCCACCAACAAUCAGAGACGAUCAGUGACUGUAUAUAAAGACGAUCAAUAACUGAAUAAGGAGGGUGAUUUCUCCAGGGGCCCCGAGGUGACACGGCCCUGAAGAAUCUGAAGAUUGGACGCCCCCCCCCCCGACAGGAACCUCAAUGUGACUCAGCAGAAGAGGCCCACACACACACACACACACACACACACACACACACAGAGGAGUCUGCCAGACGCACCCUCUGAUGCCUCUCCCCUCCUCUGAUUGGUCCGACAGUCGGCGUCUAUUUUUAGACCCAUUUCUUUUCAGCAUUUUCCAGGAUGGAAGCGGCGUGAUGGGCUGCAGUGGGACAUCCAGUCGCCGCAGUAAUCAAUACUGACACACAGACACACACACACACACACACAAACACACACACACAAACACACACACACACACACACACACACACACCUCACUGUCCUGGUUGUUGCAGUUCAGUGGGAUGAGGAUGACCGACGCUAAACUCAUGAAUACAACAGCAUAUGGAUCAAUAAUCCCCCUGCCCCUGAACGCAUCAUGUGAACGCUGGAGAACAAGUUGCUCCACAUCACCUGCCUGAGGAAUCCAGCAGUCGCCUGAUAACUGCACUGUAAGUGUGUGUGUAUGUGUGUGUGUGUUGUUUUCACAUGAAUGUGUUCGGUUUGCUUCAUAACAGCUCUGACAUGAUCGUGUGUAAAACCUGAGCAGCAGCACUUUCCACGUCCCCCCUGACCCCUGACCCCUGCUGACCACUGACCCCUGGCAGACCUAAGUGUCUGCGAGGGCCUGCACUGGUAUGAACAAGAAGUGAACCUCACCAUGCAGAAACUUUACGUCACCAUGACAACGCAGAAAUAUUUUGCUAAAUCUGGUUUGGAACUUUUUAUUUUCCGUGUGUUUCUUUCUUCACACACACACACACACACACACACACACACACACACACAUGUAUUUAUUGUAUGAUGAUGUAUCGUCGACUGAUGUGACUCCUGCUGUCUGUUCACACUCCGACCAGCAGGUGGCAGCAGCUUCACUCGCAUCCAUACACCCGUCAUGCACUGGAGCAGCGUGUGACCCAAUUUAUUUGUUUCUAAUAAAUAUCAGCUGUUGUUAAAUGUUAUUUGAGGACCAAUGUAAUUGAAAAUUAACAACAAAAAAUAUUAAUAAAACAUUGAAAGAUCAUA